RNAcentral lists this long non-coding RNA (11045 nucleotides) under Medicago truncatula (barrel medic). Its description in RNAcentral is "long non-coding RNA (MTRU_LNC001030)". The record is from RNAcentral. Lineage: Eukaryota; Viridiplantae; Streptophyta; Magnoliopsida; Fabales; Fabaceae.
CCAAGCUAGACGAGUUCGAAAAUCCACAUAGUUAUACAACUUUACAAAGUGAUAAGGAAGUGAAAGCCAAGGUGACAGAGGAAGUAUGGUGAAAACAGAGGAAACAGAGCCAUGGCACAAACCAAAAAAUGGGAGUGUCUUCCCUGCAAAUAAACGUUCGGUGAAGAAGAUGAUGUGGGAUAAGAUUGUUGAUCCUAAGGGUUCCAGUUCAAACACGGUUUCACCACCACCUCCUCCAUCCUCCCCAACUAACUCUACAUGCUGAAUAUUCAUGGAGAUGCAUGCAUGCUAUGCAUGAUUGUGUUGUGUACUAUUUUCUUAUAGUUUUCUUUUUUCUUUAAUUGUUGUUCAUUAUGUAGUCGAGCUUACUUUUGCAGUGAUGUUUUACUUGAGUGAAAAAUUUCCCAUUUUUCAUGAUGGGGUUUGUAUUUGUAUCAUCCACUUAUAUUACCAGCUAACCUAAUGAAUAAAUGUUUCAUCUUAAUUUUUCACAAGUUUUUUCAAUUUCAAUGGGAUGAUGAAAAUUAUGUGAUUAUUCAAAAUCAAUAUCUAUGCUAUUUCAUUUCCAGAAUGAAAUAUAUACAUUCAGGUAUUACUUACCUAUGAUUGAUUGCUGAAAACAUGGUGGCAUUUAGGUACUUCCCAGGUACUUACCUAUGUUUGAUUGCUGAAACCUUAAUCUUGGUUUCCCCCUUUUUAAGGUAGCUUGGUUUAGAAAUUUGUGCACAAAAAUAGUAGUGCUGCCACUAACCAGUUAAUUGUAUUUCCACAUUUGCCCCAGAAAGUGUCAAUAUAUAAUAAUUACUUAGGGAAAUUAUUACAAGCUAGCUGCCAUAUUGCUUUGUAAAAGCCUUGCCGUAUAAUAGUUAAUUCAUUACAACGAUCAUUUAAUAAUGAUAACAUGUUUUUUGAGGAACAUUUUCUUCGAUAUUUAACUUGAAAAAAAGAUUCUAAAAUAUACUUAUUGAGAAAAAAGUUCCUCGAAAAACCUUAAUUUUAGCAAGAAACAAUGAUUCUUCUAAAUUUUUUGGUCGGAAUCCUCGAGCUUUCUUGUAGUGUAUAUGAUUGUGGUUAUUCUGGUCAUUUAGGAGUUUAGGGCAUUUAAUAACAUCAGUUAAAGAUAAAAGUGGCUAAUCAUGACUUGAAGUUUUGAAACCCCACCCGAGUCAUUGCUUAUACAAUCAAUUUGUCUUUAAACUAUCACAUUUUCAUCAAUUUAAUCCCUAAACUAAUAAAAUCAACAAAAAAUGUUUUUUCUUAAGAACAAAAAAGGUUCUUAAAUUAUAGAAAUGGCAUCAACGGAGGUAGUUCGUUCAAUAGUUGCUUGACUCUAGCUCACACGACACUUGUAAGUCAAUGAUCUCAAAUUUGAUAUUUUGUUACGAAAACAUAAAACUAAUUAAGUAUGUAAAAAAUAGUAACAAAAUAUCAAGUUAAUGUAUGUAUAAAUCUAACUCUCUUUUGUGUGUGAGGACUCAAAUUGAAGUAUUUAACCCCAAGCACCUUCCAAGAAAUAUAUCAUGUGUGAAGUAAAGUGGUCGUUUGUAAUUUGUAUUGUAAUACCUUCCACACUAUCCACAGUACAAAAUAUACUCAAUGUAUUUUUGUGGUUAUACUUUUAUCGUUACUCUCAGACCUGAUCACCUAAAUUGGAACCCAUGAAUGAAACUUCAUUUCUGACGCAUAUCAAGGUUAUGUAAUGAAAAAAAUAGAAUUUUACCUGUUUAAUUACUGAAUAAAUGAAGAGUUUGACUAAAUCCUUCUUUUUAGAAUUUGGCACUUGCAAGCAAACGUGCUUGUUGAAACAUUAUCUGCCAAAAUAGGACAGAAAUAAUAUGCUUUGCUAAACGGUCAAAAAGUCCAAUGAGGUAUCUGGCGUUUUCCUCCCCAAUUCUGAUCCACGGUAAAAUAAGAAUAAUAAAUUAAUAUAGUACCACCACACUGAGACGUGAGAAGAAGAACGGAAUUAAGCAUCGUCACGUCACGUCACAUGCAUUGCUCGUUGAAAAGGCAAACCGAAGUAGUAUAUAUAAGGAAUGGUCAAGAAUCAAGAUAGAAAUAACGACAAGUACAAAGAGUAUGGAAAAACACAAUCUUACACACCAAACCUAACUACUAUUAUAAGUUUAUAACUAAACUAGCCACCAAUGCUCUUAUCAUAUAGAGUAGUAGGGACAUGGACCCUCUUGUUAUUUCCAAUUCACACUAAAAUGUCUUUCUUUACCCCCACGUGCAACACACCAUAGAACAGCGAACCACUGAAUACCACAGUUAAUGUUCCAUACUCAAAGCCAAACAAACAUCACACUAACAGAUACAAAAAAAAAUCUUUUGUUGACAAUCCAUCACAAAAGACUCCCUCAUAUAUAACAUAUAUAUUAAUGCGUACACGACCAUAGGAAAACGAUAGUAGCAAAACGACAACUGUGAUCUUACAAAAUAUAUAUUAGAACUUGGAAAGUAUUCAUUACGUAUCAUCUGAUAAAAUACCCAAGGCAACAAAAAUUGUUAUAUUUCGUAGAAGGAGCUCAAACUUAAAAUUGAUAUGAUUAUUUAAUAGGUAAGGCUAUGAAAUGCAAUGUCAUCACCCCCAAGAUAAUCUAAAUUGAAACUGCAUACAUAGGGGCAUAUAAGGAAGUGGGUGAAUAAAAAAUUAACCAUCUGUUUUUUAGAGAACAAUUAACCAUCUUUGUUGUGCCUGUGUUGCUACAAAAUAUUUGGUCUGUUGCACUGAAAAAAUGAUUCUAAUAGUUUUCAGUUUGCACUGCUAGCAUAAGGAGAGAUCGAUAGCGUCACAUAUUUUAUUGACGGAAAAUUAAAUUUCGUUUCUAGUUUCCUCGUUGCAAUUAGGGGUGUUCGUUGUGCGGUUUGAUUCGAUUUUAAAGUUAAAAAUCAUUCGAACCACAAGAUAAAAAUGCAUGCGGUUUGGUUUGGUUCAGUUGACUUUUAAAAUAAAAAUCAAACCAAAUCAAUAUGGUUUGGGUUGGUUUGGUUGUUGCGGUUUUCUUGUAAGACAUUACAAUUUUUUAGUUUUCAACGUUAAAAUCAAGAUUAAAGUUAAUAACAACUUAUUUUCAACAAUGUUUCAAUUUUGAACUAACAUUACAAUUUUGUUUUCAUCCUCCCAUCAACAUAUGUCAAAUUAAAAUAAUGGACAAAAAACAAUUCUCUUUGGUAAAAAAUGUAAAAGUUUAAGAUUUUAUCAUUCUCUAAAACUUCACAUUGAGUUUCUAUUCAAGAUAUAUCUAACAUAAACAUGUAUGCAAAAGUGGAAGUAUAAUUGAAUUAAAGCACAUUAAUACAAUUUUAAAUCAAAAGCAUAGAAAAAACUUAGCAAGAGGAACAAUAUGUCUUAGUAAAAAAAAAAAUGUCAUUCUAUAAAAUUUCUCUUUGAAUUUCCAAGAGUACUAGGUUUGUGACUUAAGUUUUAUUAGUGUUUUUCUUAUGUUACAGUUUGGUUUGGUUGCUAAAAUGAAAAUCGCAAACUGAAAUGAACCAUGCGGUUGAGUAAAAAUAUGAUUCGAAUGCAUCCGAGCCAAAUGUGGUUUUUGCGGUUUUCGAUUUGGGUUGGUUCGGUUUGCGGUUUUUCUAUUGGGUUGGUUUGAUUUUGAUCACCCCUAGUUGCAACAUCCUUACUGACAGACAUUUUAUAAUUGCUUAAAUUUUUUAACCUCUCAUUAUAUACGCAUAAUUUAUUUUUAUAUUCUAUAAACUUUUGAAAAAGUUCACAUAUUAGACUCAACUAUGAUUUUUAAGAUUGAAGUAGAGUCUCUUUCAAAAUCUAUUAGACCAUCCACCAUUUAUAUCCACGUUUCAGAUGUCCCGGUCUGGGCGUGAGCGGAUGUGUUAAAUUGUUCGAAUAAAAGAUGGUCAGACAAUAUGAUUUUAUGAGUGGGGGCAAUCUUUAAAAUGUUUUGGUCCAACUUGAAACCUUUAAAACAUAAAUGACCAAUUUGAAACUUUUAAACAUAAGGGACCAACUUGAAACCUAAAAUAGUCAAGCAUACACAAUGAGACCCUCAAUUUAGAGUUCUUAGACGGGUCCCACGUGUAAACAUCAUUCUUUUAUAAUUUUUUAAUAAUAGUACCUAAUAAGCAUUCAACCACUCCAAUGAAGACCCUCUGACGUCGAAAGGUCUAAAUCGGUCCCACCACCAACUCUUCAGCAUUUACAUUCCAACAAAACAAUGAUUAUUUUAAUAAAAAGUAGUGUGAGGUCCACUUAAGAAUAAUGAUCUUAAGUGAGAUCCUCGAUCUUAGAAGACCUCCAAAAAACAUUUCCCCAAUUGAGGUAUCUAUUAGGUAUUGAAUCUUAAAUGGUGAAAAUCUCACCAUUGAAGAUGGUUUAAGGGAUCAACACAUUCAAUUAAGCCUUAAAAUUACGAGUCCCAAUGUUUUUGAAUUGUUGUGGGAGAAUAAUUAGAUGAUUGAUAUGCUAUAACUUUCAAAACAAAAACAAAAAUUCAUGUGCAUGGACGUGAGAGUGAGUGUGUCAAGCAAUAUGGAAACCAUGUAGGUAGAAGGGGUGGACAGAUUCGCUCUUUGUCGAACAUGUAAUCAUUUAAAGAAAAAAAUUCACGGACACUCAUAUAUCUAAUUGACACCUUAAGAGGGAAAGAAAUAUAAAUUGUAAUGUAAUAGAUAUAAUAUAUUGAUGAUGUGAUGGGAAAAGAAAGAUGGAAAGAAUAUGAGGUGACAAAGGUGUUGAAUAGACGUGGUAACAAUAUCGAUACACGCGAUAUCUGCUCAAACUCACCUCAACUCGACAGUUUUCCUCGGUUUGACUGAGUUUGUGUAUAACUUCACCAAUUUUAAAUAGGGAUACGGUGUGUGUAAGGGAGAUAUAGUUACUCACCCCACACCCGUCUCGAAUGUAAAAAAUUAUAUAUGCGCAACAUGCAAGACUCUAAAUGUCAUCUAUAUUUCCGGAGUAUUUUCAAACUUUUAAUUAGCUAGUGUGAACAUAUCAUAGGUUUGCAAUUGACAAAUACUAAAGAUGUUUGGGUGUUUCCCUACCCCAAAUGGAUUAAAUUAAUAGAAAAAUUGUGGAAAUCAAUUUAUGAAGGUAGGUUUGGGUAUUGGGAAAAUUUUGAGUUCAGGGUGGGUUCGAGUUUGGGUCAAAUCGAUCCCUCCAUUAACAUAUGACAUUUUUCUGACGUGUGGUUAAGGUUGUGGUUGGAUAAAUUAAAAUAGUUGAAUGGAAUUAUACAUGUUUACCAGUUAAUAAAAUGAACAGUCUCCUAAAAUCUUUUUUCUUACAAUUUGGCAUGUGUUUGUAAUGAACAUUAUUUUUGUUACAUUGCGUUAUUGAUUCAACAUGAUGAAACAUAAUCAGUUAAAAGUUGACAGAAAUAUAUGGCCAAAAAAACGGUCAAAAAGUCCAAUUAGAAAAGUUGAAUAAAAGUGUCAAGGAAACAAAUGAAGCCAAAAUACUACAGGGUACGUAUAGAUCCUUCUUCAAUCCUUGGCUUGGCAUAUUAAUUUGAGAUCACUUCAGUAGUUUUGGUUGGUGGAAAUUCUAAAUGGGAAACAAAGGCCAACAAUAUUUGUACCUACUUUAAGGUAAAAGCAUCGAUCCAAACCCAAUUAGAAAUCAUAGGAGUAAAAGUAAUACUCCUAACGUGGGAACUUUUUUCUUUCUUUCUUUCUUUUUACGUGGGAAUCUUACGUAAACUUUUCGGUAAUCGUUUUAUAGACAUCAAGGACAUACAUAAUCCAUGCAUACUUCACUUUGUUAAGCGUCCAUGUGUAACAUCGACUAUGGUACAUUGCCUCACAAUUUUGAAGGUCCAAAUUCCUUCAAAUAGAAAUAUUUAAGGGUCUAAAUUUAGGUCAAAUUUGAUAGUCUUAACUUAAUUGCAGCAAUAAAUUUCAAAUUUUGAGGGCUUCAAAGUGUUUUAAGAGUCUAAAUUUCUUCAUAUACUAAUUUUUAGGGAUCCAAAUUUUUUAGGGCUUAAAAUUAAAAUAAGACCUCCAAAAUGUUUAAGACAUCUUUGCUAGUAAAUACCACCUAAAACUACUCUUCUAACCCAAUGAUUGGCUCAUUGCAAGAAUCUUAAUCACCAAGUCUGGAUUUAGUCGGCCCUAAUUUUCUAGUGAGAGAAACUCCAACUUCUCUCUAAACUUUCUUUCUCCUUCGUUCAUCGAGGAGGGGUGAUUUUAGGUCAUUUUUUGACCUAGAAUCACUCUUCUACAUCUUUUUCCCCUUUUCUUUCAAUCUAAAUAAGUGGUUUUCACUUCUUUCAAGUUUUUCUUUUUGUAUUUUUUGUGAUUUCGUCGUCUAAGUGCGGCGUUGUGUUGUUCGUCGUCUUGUGCGGCGUUUUGAUUUCGCGUCUUGUCGCGGUGUUUGUUCAGUUCCUAUUGAAAGAUCUACAUCAGUCAAUACAAAUUCAGCCAAUGAUUUGGACGUCAACAUUGCAGAUCCGGAAGCAUAGGUAUUUCGGUGACUUAGGUUUUAUCAUAUUAUUUGUAGGCAUUUUGCCGUUAUAUGUUAUUAACUUGGGUGUUGUGAGUUUGUUCGCAAAUUCACUCUUUAUGUUUUUAGCGAUGUUUGUAUCUGAUAUACUCUAUCGAUUUGAAUGAAUGAAUAUCGUUUUGUUUUUGUAAAAAAAAAAAAAAAUCUGGAUUUUGAUUGAAACGUAUUAUUUCAGUAAUUUUAAAAGCAAAAUUUAUUUUAAGACCUCUUAUAUAUAGACACAAUUAAUUUUUCUACACUCAUAACUCAUUCAAUACUUGGUUUAUUCUCUUCCCCUUAGAUCAAAUUUUUUUAUUCAUUCUGUUUUUAAAUGAGUGUCGUUUUAGCAAAAAAAUAUUUCAAAAUGAAUGUCACUUUUGAUUUCCAAUGCAAUAAUAACUUUUUCUUUUCAAUUGUACCUUUCAAUUAAUACUAUAUACACUACUUCUAAAGUAUUAUUUUUUCUUUAUCGAAAAACAAAUUAAUAGUUGAUUAUAAUAAUUUGAUAAAAUAACAUCUUCCUUUCUUUUAAUUAAUGUAUUUCUUAAUAUGUAUGUAAAACAUUCAUUAUGAAACGGAGAAAAUAUUUUUUUAUCUAUCGCUGUAUUGGGUGGUUGCAUGUAUGCGUGUCGAUAAUUUGUUGGGUGGAUCCCUCCUCAAGCGAGGGCCAAACACUUAUCUAAGAAAAAAAAGUGUGUUUUUGGUGUAUUGCCACAUAGGAUGGUAUAUGUAUCAUCACUCUUUUAUGAAUGGGCUCUUGUGCUACGUGUGUAUUGGUAAAUGGGUUGGUAACCCAUGUGUGUGUUAAGUGAUAUAAAAGGGAAUCAUAAUCCCUAGUUGCAGUAUUGGUGCGUGAGAAAAAUUGUGGCGCACAGUAAGAUAAUUUUGAGAGAGAGCAACACGCCACAGAGGAAGAAGAUUUUGGAUACCGGUGAAAAAAGUAUAUUUGGCAAACUAUCUUUGUUUAGAUAAUUUUUCUAAGAAAAAAGUAUAUUUGGCAAACUAUCUUUGUUUAGAUAAUUUUUCUAAGUAGUUUUGUCUUCUCUUUCUCUUUGUGUCUGUUUUGGAUACUUUUUAGGGUUUGCUCACCGGUUGUUAUAAUCAUCAUAUUUGUUGAUAAUUCGAUGAUUGUCGCAGUUCUUAAAGAUUUAGAAAGACAUUGAUCGUAACCAUUAGGGUUGGGAAUAGGCCAGGCCGGCCUAGAGAGGCCUAUGGCCUGGCCUGUUUAAGUCUGGCCUGGCUUGACCUGUUUAUUAAAAAGGUUAGGCUUAGGCUUUUUAAAAAGCCUAUUUAAGUAAAUAGGUCAGGCUUAAACUAUCAAAAAAGCCUAUGAAGCCUAAUAGGCCGGCCUGUUUAUGCAUGUUAGGCUUCAUAGUGACUUUUUAAAUAGGCUUUAAAGCUUUAUAGUGAAAUAGGCUUUUAAGGCCUUAUAGUAGUGAUAGACAAGUCUUACACUGAAAUAGGUUUUGAUGCCUAUUAAACCUAUUUAAAAGUAGAUAAAAUGGAAUGUUUAGUGACUUUAAUAGUAAGUAGGCCUGUAAAUAGGCUUUCAGGCCAGGCCAGACUUUUAAAUAGGCCAGGUCAGGCCAAAAAAAUAAGCCUAUGAAAGGCCAUAGGCCAGGCUCAGGCCUGGAAAUUUUUUCGUAAGCCAGGCUCAGGCCUAUCAAAGCCUGGUCUGGCCUAGCCUAUUCCCAAUCCUAGUAACCAUUAUCGUGAUAGUGGAAGUUUUUGGCAAAACUAGGUCCAAUGGUUUUUAUUUUCUCAUAUUGAGAGGAGUUUUCCACGAUAAAUUCCCUGUGUUCUCAUUUAUGGCUUUUACUCAUUGUUGUUGUUGUUGGUUGUGCGGGAUUAAUUUGAUUGUUCAAGUUUCACAAAAAGAGAUAAUCCAAGCUUCCGCUUAUUCCGUAUUGCACACUCUGAUCCCAAGACAAAUUUCCUUAUUUUUAACUAUGUUAUUUAUGCACAUGAUUUGAUUGAUAUAUGAUGAUGGUCCAUUAAAAAUUUAGGUUUAAUUGCACUUUUGAUCCUCGUAUUUUAACCAACUCACAAAAUUGAUCCUGCCUUUUUCAAAUUAAACAAAGCAGUCCCUAUCUCUCAUGGUUUUUUCAAUUUUAGUCCUAACCCCUAUUUUUCCCUCCCAAAAUGUUGAUAUGACAAAGAAAUACCUAUGUGACAAUGCCAACGAAAAAAUGACAUUAACAUGUCAUUAAAACAACAUUUUUUUUAAUUUAAAAAACCAACUUAAACAUUUCAGAAAUUAAAACAAAAAAAAAAAUUGAAAGAAAAAAAAGGAAUAAAUAAAAUUGAAAGAAAGAUAAAAUCCCUAAUUCCAAAAUCUAGAGUGAAGCACUCAAAUCCUAUUCAAUUCCUUCCAUCUUUUCCUUCUUCCAUCCUCGUUCCUUCAUUUCUUUCUCAUGCAUCGAAGAAAUUGAAAAGGCUUCAACAAUAAAUGUUCAUAUAUUCUUUUGUUUCAACUAAAGCCACGAGCACAUAAUCUAUUGAAAGUUCAUGGGAUUCAUCUUUUAAAUUUUAGGUUUUUCAUAUUUGAAGUUAAAUGUUUGGGUUCAUAUGGGUCAAAAUCUUCUUCUAAGUUCUCUGAAAAAUGAAUGAGCAUGGAGCUCGAUUGAUGGGUGCCUGAAGCUUGCCCAUUCGAUGGGUAAAGCCGAUACAGAAAGAAGGAAUAAAUGAGGUAGAAAUAGUAAAUAAGGUUCUCGAAAGUGAAGGAUUAGAGGGAAUGUAUCAAUGGUUGAAGUUUUUUUUUUGUUUCUCAUUUCUUCCUAUUUCAGAUUUGGAUUUGUUUUCUUUUGUGAAAUAGGGAUUCAGUUUUGUUUUUUUAUAAAUCCAUAACUUUGUUGUUGUUGAAAUAGGGAUUCAAUAAUAUGCUAUUGCAAUUUCCAAUAUUUCUCUUCUUUGUUUCCACUUUAGCCAUGCUGACUUGCUGUUGAUGAUGAGGAAGAUGAAGUUUCUUUAGGUUUUUUUUUUUCAAACCCAUAUCAAUGUAGAACAGAUUAUGGAAAUUAUUGCUAUUUUAAUAUUGUAAUUUAAGUUUUAUUUAUUUUUUAGUUAAAUUGUAAUUUUAAAUAAUUAUUUAUUUUUCCAAACCAAAAGAGAUGAUUUUGAUGACAUGUUAAUGACAUUUUGCAAGUUAGCAUUGCCACAUAGGUGUUCUUUUGGCCACAUCAGUUAAAAAUUCAACACAUCAACGUUUUUUGAGGGAAAAAUAGGGGUUAGGACAAAAAUUGCAAAAAAAAUAUGAUAGUUUAGAGACUGCUUUGUUCGAUUUAAAAAAUGUAUGAUCAAUUUCGUGAAUUGGUCAAAAUGCGUGUAGCAAAAGAGAAAUUAUGCCAAAAAUUUAAAACUCCGUAAUCCAUGACCACAUGCUUUGCUACGCAAGGCCUCAAAUCAAAAGCACCUAAAACAAAACUACAAAAGUCCUAAGCCGGGACCCACCGAAAAUGGGUUGCGGGGUGAGAUAUACUAGGUGGUCUAGAAGCUGAUUCAAAGCAUGCAUGCAUGCAUGGAUGGAAUGGACUGGAAAGAGAGUUGGAGGGUAAAAGGCAAACAUAUUCAUUCGUGUACAUGUGUGGUCUUCACAAUCAACUAAUCACUUGAAGUGCAUAACCCAUCAGAAUUGACUGCAGUAAAUUUGUUUAUGCAUAUAACACAAUUGGUAUAUUUUUGGUGGUUGGAUCAACAUCAAAAUACCCAAAUUUUAUUUCAAUGUUUUUUGUUUUAAAUAUCAAAUUUUAAUUAAUGCCAAACCUUUUUAUGUAAGUUGUUACUUUUCAUCAUGUAAUAAUUACAUUAUAUUUUAUAAAAAAUAUAUUUGUUUUGGUUGUUUAACCAAUGUUUGAUAGACACGAUAUAACAUUCUAUUUUUAUUUGGAAGAACCACUAGCUAGACCUUUAAUAAUACCAAUUUUAUUUUUUCUCAAUAAGACUAAUAGUACCAAUUUUAUUUUAUUUUUGACUAGAGAUAUUGCCAAUCUUAAUCAACAAGUUGUUGUUCUAGACGGAGACCCUUAUAAAACCCCCCACACCCAUUUCGUUUCGCUUCCAUGCUACAAGAAUUCGAAAAUCCACAUAGAAAUACAACUUUACACAGUGACAGGGAAGUGAACGUUAAGGCGACAAAGGAAAUAUGGAGAAAACAGUGGAAACAGAGGCAUGGCACAAACCAAAGAAUGGAAGUGUAUUCCCUCCAAAGAAACGUUCUGUGAAGAAGAUGAUAUGGGAUCAGAUUGUUAAUUACAAGGGUAAUUCCAGUUCAAACACGGUUUCACCGCCACCUCCUCCAUCCUCAAAGUCCAAAACAUGCCCCAACUAGCUCUACAUGCUGAAUAUUCAUGGAAAUGCAUGCAUGCAUGCAUGCAAGCUAUGCAUGAUUGUGUUGUGUAUUUUCUUAUAAGUUUGCAUUUUAUGUAUUUUUACAUUUUUUCUUUCUUGUUGUUCAUCAUGUAGUCGAGGUUGCUUUUGCAAUGUUGUUUUGCUAGUGUGAAAUUUUUUUCCAUUUUCCAUGGGGUUUGUGUUUGUAUCGUCCGCUUAUACUACCAGCAUACCUAAUGAAGAACUAUUUCAUCUUAUUUUUCAC